CCCUUAGAUGUCCUGGGCCGCACGCGCGCUACACUGAUGCAUUCAACGAGUUUUACCUUGGCCGAGAGGCCUGGGCAAUCUUUUGAACGUGCAUCGUGAUAGGGAUAGAUUAUUGCAAUUAUUAAUCUUGAACGAGGAAUUCCUAGUAAACGCAGAUCAUCAAUCUGCAUUGAUUACGUCCCUGCCCUUUGUACACACCGCCCGUCGCACCUACCGAUUGAAUGGUCCGGUGAAGCCUCGGGAUUGUGGCGAGUUCCCUUUAUUGGGAGUUUGUUGCGAGAACUUGUCUAAACCUUAUCAUUUAGAGGAAGGUGAAGUCGUAACA
RNAcentral lists this ribosomal RNA (325 nucleotides) under uncultured eukaryote. RNAcentral describes it as "partial 18S ribosomal RNA". It matches the Rfam family "Eukaryotic small subunit ribosomal RNA", at positions 1470 to 1796 of the family's 1831-position model. The record is from RNAcentral.